This 991-nucleotide ribosomal RNA is filed under the name uncultured bacterium. RNAcentral's name for it is "bacterial SSU rRNA". It matches the Rfam family "Bacterial small subunit ribosomal RNA", at positions 396 to 1399 of the family's 1533-position model. The record is from RNAcentral.
GCCGCGUGGAGGAAGAAGGUUUUCAGAUUGUAAAUUCCUGUCGUUAGAGACGAUAAUGACGGUACCUAACAAGAAAGCACCGGCUAACUACGUGCCAGCAGCCGCGGUAAUACGUAGGGUGCAAGCGUUGUCCGGAAUUACUGGGUGUAAAGGGAGCGCAGGCGGGAAGACAAGUCGGAAGUGAAAACCAUGGGCUCAACCCAUGAAUUGCUUUCAAAACUGUUUUUCUUGAGUAGUGCAGAGGUAGAUGGAAUUCCCGAGUGUAGCGGUGGAAUGCGUAGAUAUCUGGGAGGAACACCAGUGGCGAAGGCGGUCUACUGGGCUCCAACUGACGCUGAGGCUCGAAAGCAUGGGUAGCAAACAGGAUUAGAUACCCUGGUAGUCCACGCCGUAAACGAUGAUUAUUAGGUGUGGGGGGGAUUGACCCCCUCCAGUGCCGCAGUUAUCACAAUAAGUAAUCCACCUGGGGAGUAGGACCGCAAGGUUGAAACUCACAGGAAGUGACGGGGGGCCCGCACACGCAGCAGAGUAUGUGGUGUAAUUUGAAGCAACACGAAGAACAUCUAUCACAGCUGUACACAUACAGGAAUACUUAAGAAAUUAGGUCGUCUUUCGAGACUUGUAAACAGGUGGCGCAUGGUUGUCGUCAGCUUGCGUCGUGAGAUGUUGGAUUAAGUCCCGCAACGAGCGCAACCCCUAUUUCUAGUCGCCAGCACGUAAAGGUGGGAACUCUAGAGAGACUGCCGAUGACGAAUCGGAGGAAGGUGGGGACGACGUCAAAUCAUCAUGCCCUUUAUGUCCUGGGCUACACACGUAAUACAAUGGCCGUAACAGAGAGAAACGAAACAGCGAUGUGGAGUAAAACUUAAAAAAGCGGUCUCAGUUCGGAUUGAAGGCUGAAAUUCGCCUACAUGAAGUUGGAAUUGCUAGUAAUGGCAGGUCAGCAUGCUGCGGUGAAUACGUUCCCGGGUCUUGCACACACCGCCCGUCA